UCAAAAUCAUUACUAAGCUUUGUGCCAUGUUAGGGCAGGAAUGAGUUAAAGUCCAGGGCUGGAGUUAAAGUCUAAUCUUUUCCACGCUUUGCAGAAUUAUACAGCAAUGAAUCUAAAUCACAAACCUGUAAGCUACAAGUUUCCUAAGGCUUGUCUUACUAAAUGUGAGACCUUAGGACUUGCUUUGCCAUUUUGCUAAUUGUUGGAGAAGACUGCCAUCCAGACCAAUCUACUGGUGUUGCAGGUAUACACAGAUAUACAGACAGGGUGAGAGAAAGAGAGUAGGACAUGGAGGAAAUAUGGUUUUAUAGACAGUGAAGGGUAAAAAGGGGAGUUUGUAACACAAUAAACAUAGAGAUCUAAGACUGAUAAGGAGGCAUGGAGAACAAAGCAGAGAUACAGAAGAAAAAAGACUGAUAGAAAGAAUGUGACGAAGAACCUAGGAAGUACAGAAGAACAAAGCUCUCUCCUCUCUCUGGUUCUCUCAUGCCUCUGUUUCCGUUCACUAUGCCAACCUCUUCGUGCGCACACACAUACAGCACAGCAGCGCUCUCUUUCUUGCCCUCCUAUUCACCGCCGCCCCCAUCCCGUUCUCAUCACUGCAUCAUCACAGUGCGCCGCGCAACACACAGCACACACCACUAGAACGCCUCCCAGCAAGUCAGGGUAUAGCCCUGCCACUGGACCCGAGAACCGGGUAGAGAAGCCAGGGACACAGGUACAGAAUGAAGAAGGAGAAGGAGGAAGAGAGCGGGAGAGAGAGACUCACACCAAAAAGGAGAGAGAGAGAGCCAUGAGGUGAAGUGCCCAGCUGAGCUGAGGUCCAGUGCCGCUGUCUGGGGUCUCCAAGACAGCAGCUGAGACCCACUCCCCUGGGACUCAGGGAACACAGACAGGAUGAACUGCCUGAAAACUGUCCAGCAAAACUGAACACAAAAUUGCAAAAAAGAAAUGCUUAACUCACGACGCAUGUUGUGUUCAGCUCGAUGCAUUUGCGCAGCUUGCAGAUCUGGUGGCCGGUCUUGCGAUUGAAGCAGUUGGUACAGCUACCACAGUUUU
This is a long non-coding RNA of Lepisosteus oculatus (spotted gar), 1059 nucleotides long. RefSeq lists it as uncharacterized. Lineage: Eukaryota; Metazoa; Chordata; Actinopteri; Semionotiformes; Lepisosteidae. The record is from RefSeq and is a predicted model, not a curated record.